AUGAAUAUUGUCGAAUUCCGUCGUAUAAUCCCGGGAAUAUGGCUCGGGAGUUUCUACCAAGCUACCGUAAAUAGCUUGACUACGAGGGAAGUGGAUGGAGAG
Non-coding RNA from Geobacillus sp. BCO2, 102 nucleotides. The record is from Rfam. NCBI's taxonomy places the organism in Bacteria, Bacillati, Bacillota, Bacilli, Caryophanales, Anoxybacillaceae.